Molecule: RNA transcript, 1137 nt
Organism: Cryptomeria japonica (Japanese cedar)
Lineage: Eukaryota; Viridiplantae; Streptophyta; Pinopsida; Cupressales; Cupressaceae
Exons: 4
Source: RefSeq, a predicted model, not a curated record
GAAGAAGAUUUUUGACUUCAUCUUUUUAGAAAUACCUUUUGCUGUGCAAGUCCUCAUGUGAUUUUGGGUUAUAAGAUCAAGGUCAUUUUGGAGGGAAGGUUAAAAUAUUAUUUUCGAUGUUCCCAACUCAAGAUUAAUCUGUGGUUGGGAAAGAGAAAAUCGAGAUCAAAGAAGAGACUGUAGUUUGGCUAUGGAAACCCUAGUUUUCAUUACUCAACGCUUCAAUGGCCGCCAAAACCAAGACUUUUAGUCAAACAGUAGAUGAUUAAAAAGGAAUCAAUGAGCUUGAGGGUAGAUAUCCCGUGAGAACAGCCAGUUACAAACUAGACAACACAUGGAGAUUUAAUCAAGAACACCAAAUAUGUGUUCGAACAACAAUUCAUCAUGAUCAGGGUAGCAUAAAAUCAUCUUCACAAGCAGUCGCCAUAUUUACCAGGCUAAAAUAAAGGCAUGAGCCAUUUCUGCAUGGAGUUGAUCUCUCUCAUAGUAGUAGGUUGUCUCUUAUAGGACAGAUGGUGAAUUAUGAGCCUUCCAUGCCACAUCCUCAUAUAUUUGCAGGCAUAGGGAAUCUUUUUCCACCUCAGAAUGCAGGUUAUACACAUCUUUAAGACAAAGUGCGGAGAUCUUGAAACUCAUAAUAUGAAGGAAAACCUUUGUAAAGCCCAAGAGUCCUUCACACCAUCAUGAGGGUCUUCUAUGAUAUCAUCUUUGCAACAUUGGGAUUGUUCUCUUUCACUCUUUUGGGCUAUGACAAGCUGAUGUUUGCUGCUUUACGUGCUCCCAGUUGUCAUAUCUUUGAACUAGGGCUAUGAUCUUGUGUAGAAGCUUCCUUCACUAUGACAAGGAUUCUUUAUUGCUGCUCUUGAUUGUGGUUGUUGAAGCUUAGGAUCAUGGUUGUCCCAAGUGAUGUCUCUUAUUUGCGAUUUCUGAGACUCGUUACUGACAUUGCAGUAUUUUUUAUAAUUGUAUGACUAUUAUAGUGAAUUCAUAACUUUGGCCUGCUAGAUGUGUUUUUUUUCAGCUAUAGAAUCAUUGAAUUUUUUUUGAAAUUUUUUUUUUGUAGUUAUUUUAACACACGUACUAUUAAAUUAAUGGUUGUUUUAUUAUGCAAAUAAGGACAAUCAUUACAUAUGUAUU